UACGUAGGGGGCAAGCGUUGUCCGGAUUUAUUGGGCGUAAAGAGCGUGUAGGCGGCCAGGUAGGUCAGCUGUGAAAACUCGAGGCUUAACCUCGAGACGCCGGCUGAAACCCUCUGGCUAGAGUCCGGAAGAGGAGAGCGGAAUUCCUGGUGUAGCGGUGAAAUGCGCAGAUAUCAGGAGGAACACCGGUGGCGAAGGCGGGUCUCUGGGCCGAUACUGACGCUGAUGCGCGAAAGCGUGGGGAGCGAUCCGG
RNAcentral lists this ribosomal RNA (253 nucleotides) under uncultured bacterium. RNAcentral's name for it is "partial 16S ribosomal RNA". It matches the Rfam family "Bacterial small subunit ribosomal RNA", at positions 524 to 776 of the family's 1533-position model. The record is from RNAcentral.